GGGGAUGUAGCUCAGCUGGGAGAGCGCAGCGUUCGCAUCGCUGAGGCCGUCGGUUCAAUCCCGUCCAUCUCCACCA
Molecule: transfer RNA, 76 nt
Filed under: Deltaproteobacteria bacterium
Lineage: Bacteria; Pseudomonadati; Myxococcota; Myxococcia
Description: tRNA-Ala
Rfam family: tRNA
About the family: Transfer RNA (tRNA) molecules are approximately 80 nucleotides in length. Their secondary structure includes four short double-helical elements and three loops (D, anti-codon, and T loops).
Source: RNAcentral